GCUGCACUUCCACCUGCUGCAGAGGAGCCACUGCCCUGCUACUUCUACUCGGAGGAAAGAGGGAAAGGCUUGGAUGCUCUCCCGCUCAGGAACUAUCCAAACAAGACACGAAGAGCAGUGCAGAGAGAGAGGAGAGAAGUAGAUAAUCUAUCUAGAUCGCAGACUGCUGAAUUCCCAUGAUACCAUCAAAGAAUCAGAUACAUGGAAGACUGAAACGGUGUAUGCAGAGAACCACAUCCAAGCGGGGAGAAAAUCAUCUCUAAUUGGCCAGUGCAGGCCUGAACACGGCCCAACUCGCGGGCAUAAUUUCUAAAGUGGUCAACUGGAAUUCACAAGGAGCACAUGGAUAUUGUAGAAGUUAAACAAGCAGGAGGAAAAAGCUGUAUGAGGAGACAAUUGUCAGCCUGGCUUCACUGAAGGGCUGUUUUAACAGUACAAGCUUGCCCAGAGUUUUCCUAAGCCAUCUGGAGUGUGAUGCAGCACAUGUUUCCUUGGCAAUGAAGUGGAGCCUGAUGUUAGUGCAGCUUUCUGCAAUGCAUUUUGAGUAUGAAGAUGUGAUUGUUGUAUGGUUCUAGGUUGAACAUGUGUGUCUCAAGUUCCUUGAAUGCAGAACCACCAUGGAGUUCCAGAACCUUUGUGGAGACCCUGGAGAUUGGCCUUGUGAGUGUGUGCUGUUGAAUAAAUCUCUCAGCUGUCUUGCAGACUUUCAGGACGCUGUCUGACAGUCUGAUAAGUCCACCUCGGGACUUCAUGUCGAGCAGUGUGUGUCCAAGUUCAUCUUGGGAAGAGCUGUCGACACUGAGUGCUGAUAAGGUUGAAUGUCAUUUUGCCAGAAUGCCAGCAUAUCAGAAUAUAUUGCCUCCAGUACCACUGUGCUAACCAGUGGAGAACAGUUGCCACUAGCUCCGAUGGCAUGUCUAGCUACCAUUCUUUUGAAAGCUGACAUAAAUUGCCUUGCUGUGGCAUUGUUGUUAAAUCCAUUAGCAGAUUUGUCCCCACAUAUCUUCGAAUUGUUAUUGUAUUGUUCAGUUUAAUAGUCCAUUUUUGUGUGUACUU
Long non-coding RNA from Myxocyprinus asiaticus (Chinese sucker), 1056 nucleotides. RefSeq lists it as uncharacterized. The record is from RefSeq and is a predicted model, not a curated record. Lineage: Eukaryota; Metazoa; Chordata; Actinopteri; Cypriniformes; Catostomidae. The transcript is spliced from 6 exons.